UACGUAGGUGGCAAGCGUUGUCCGGAUUUAUUGGGCGUAAAGCGAGCGCAGGCGGUUCCUUAAGUCUGAUGUGAAAGCCCACGGCUCAACCGUGGAAGGUCAUUGGAAACUGGGGAACUUGAGUGCAGAAGAGGAGAGUGGAAUUCCAUGUGUAGCGGUGAAAUGCGUAGAUAUAUGGAGGAACACCAGUGGCGAAGGCAACUCUCUGGUCUGUAACUGACGCUGAGGCUCGAAAGCGUGGGGAGCAAACAGGAUUAGA
RNAcentral lists this ribosomal RNA (259 nucleotides) under uncultured prokaryote. Its description in RNAcentral is "partial 16S ribosomal RNA". It matches the Rfam family "Bacterial small subunit ribosomal RNA", at positions 524 to 782 of the family's 1533-position model. The record is from RNAcentral.